RNAcentral lists this ribosomal RNA (465 nucleotides) under uncultured bacterium. Its description in RNAcentral is "partial 16S ribosomal RNA". It matches the Rfam family "Bacterial small subunit ribosomal RNA", at positions 28 to 507 of the family's 1533-position model. The record is from RNAcentral.
GACGAACGCUGGCGGCGUGCUUAACACAUGCAAGUCGAACGGAAAGGCCCUGCUUGCAGGGGACUCGAGUGGCGAACGGGGGAGUAACACGUGGGGGAUCUGCCCUGCACGUCGGGAUAAGCCUGGGAAACUGGGUCUAAUACCGGAUAGGAGCCAUUUUUAGUGUGAUGGUUGGAAAGUUUUUUCGGUGUAGGAUGAGCUCGCGGCCUAUCAGCUUGUUGGUGGGGUAAUGGCCUACCAAGGCGGCGACGGGUAGCCGGCCUGAGUGGGUGGACGGCCACAUUGGGACUGAGAUACGGCCCAGACUCCUACGGGAGGCAGCAGCGGCGAAUAUUGCACAAUGGGAGCGAGCCUGAUGCAGCGACGCCGCGUGCGGGAUGACGGUCUUCGGGUUGUAAUCUCCUUUCGCUAGGGACGAAGCUUUUUGUGACGGUACCUAGAUAAGAAGCCCCGGCUAACUACGUG